Molecule: long non-coding RNA, 26080 nt
Filed under: Lactuca sativa (garden lettuce)
Lineage: Eukaryota; Viridiplantae; Streptophyta; Magnoliopsida; Asterales; Asteraceae
Description: long non-coding RNA (LSAT_LNC004993)
Source: RNAcentral
AGGAAUACGAUUAUGGUUUUCUAGAACUAGUUAACCAAGGAUCACUAUGAAAACCUCCACAUGUUUAUCCUCAUGGUUUAAGUUUCUUGUGUGGUUGUUCGUUGUUGUUCUAUUUUGUAACAAAAUUACUAAUUUACCCAUAUUUUGAUCUUUUAUUAAUUUUUAUUUCAUUUUUCUAAUUUAAAUUAGAGUUUUAAAAAUAAAAAGCCCUACCCUAACCUUAAGCCAAUCCACCAAUGCUCUUCAUUUUCUUAACCCCCCAACUAACACACCAUCUACUAUUGUCUCUCUAUUUCUCUUGGAACACAGGCAUAACCAUCCACAAUGCUACCCUUUAACCUUACUAAACCACCUCCUCUUAUUUCCUUACUCGAUAACCACCACUAGCACUCCAAAAAUUUUGAUGACUACAAAACCAUCACACUUGCAAAACAACGCCACCCCUUAUUAUCUAUUAUGCUUUACCAAAUGAUUCAUGUACCAAAAGAACAUGCAAGUAAGAAAAUCACAACCUUCAGUCUCCGAAAUUUUUGCAUGUACGGGUGCGGGUGGGGGGAUUCAAAAUCUAAAAGAAGACGGGUAGGGAAAAAGUGAUGAUAAUGUUGAUAGAGAUUUGAUUUUUCUGGCGAUAUAUGGAGCAACAUGUAUAAUUUUUCGAGGAAAUCUGGUCAGUGCUAUGGAUCUUUAACUAAAGUGAUUUUACAUUCACAUAUACACAACUAACCACCACUGAUCUUUGUUUUAGUCGAGUGAUUUCUGGGUUUCGUUCAAUGAAUUUUGGCUUGACCUGGCAAUCCAUGUAUGUGUGUCUAGUAUAUGUGUCACACAUAAAUUUCACGACAUAAUUUUGUUGAAUACGAACACGAUACGAAUUGUAAAAUGUGUAUGGGAUAUUAAACAUGAAUAUAACACGUAAAAAAUUGUGUGACAUGUGACAUGUCACGAAUAGACACAUUUUUUUAACCAUGUUACAAAAAAAAAAAAAAAAUUAAAACAACAUGCAUAUAUGUUUUGUCACCCAUAUGGACCAAACGAAUAAAUCUGUAUCAUAUAGUAGUUUUUUCCUCUAGAUCCCAAUAAUUUUUCACUAGGUUUAGAGUUUUUCACAUACAAUUUUGUGUUUUUAUUUAUCUGUAGUUGUUUUCCGAAGAAUUAUUAGUUCCCAACAAUCAAUUUGUAAUCGACUUUUAAAAAAAAAUUAGAACAUAUAUCCAAACUGAAAAUUGGUGCAUGAAAAAAAUACAUAGAAACGAUAACUACAAAUAUUAUAUAUUGUUCGUGUUAUAAUUUUUAAUUUUGUUGGCAUGCUAUUUUUGACCAUCUGGUUUACAUAUUAUUCAACCCAAUCAACAAUAUGUUUGAAAGAUUUAAUCCAAUUACCAACACAUCUAUCACUUUCAUACCAAAACCUUUUACAUACGACGGGGAGAUCAUCACCAACUUUUCUUAGUGUGCAAGACAAGAGUACGUUUGAAACUUUGGAUGGUCACAUGUAGCAUGGUCUGAGAAAUAGUUUUAUCAUGUCAUUUGCUACAAAUUUUGUUGGUGCGUAAUGUUGAUAAAAGUAUCAUUGCAAAAUAAUUCAAAAAUAAUCAAGUUUCAUUUAUGGUCAACUAAUAUCGAUUGGUUAAUCAUAUUAAAGUAAUAAGAUAUGGUCUAUUUUUAUCAAGCAAAAGAAUAUUGUCAAAACAAUUGUUCUAUAGGGGUGUAAGAAGUACCCUUGAAGGGUGUAAUCAACUUGUUUUAAAUUGGAAAUCGAUUCUUGACAUGUGAUUAUAACAAGGGUUUUGUAAAAUAAACAAAUAUAUCUUAUUACUGAAAUUUGCAUGUCUAAAAAAUGAUAUUGGAAUUUUAAAACUGGGGAGGUGAUAUUUUUGCUUAUGUUUUUAAUCUAUCCAUUUAAAAACAAGUUACUUUAAAAAUUAUAAUUAAUCUUAAAAAACAACAUUGUUGUUGAAAUUACAAAAUAAACUAAUGAAUCAUUUUUAGAUUAGUUAGCUAUACAUAUAGUUAAAAAUCAUAUCAAAACAAGAAUUUUACACAACUUUAUAGACUUGCAAUCCAUGGUAGAGACCAUUAAAAUGUAAUGGUUCAAGUUAAAUAAAUAUUUUUAAGAAAUUUGAACUAUAUUAUAUGAAUUAAGUUCAGUCAUUAUAAUACAAAUGUCCAAUGUCUAAAAUUCGAAUAAAAAUACCAUUUACCAUAGUUUUAAUAUAAGGCUAAUAAUGUCAUAUGGCUGUCACCAUAAUAAAAACUUAGAGCAUUGGGUGUGAACAACUGAAUUUAACACCAAAUUGAUGUCAUCUCAUCCAUAACACUACCAUAACACCAAGGAGGAAAUGGUGUUCCACAUGUUAUAUCAUGUUAAGUAGUAGAGAAAUAAAAUAGAUAAAAUUAUUUGAUUGCUUGAUGAAGGAGAUAACCAAUCAUAUUUCUUGUUUUAUCUUGUCCUCGUUACCACAAGAUGCAACAUAACGAGCAAAAACGAGUAGGGGGCGGUGUCCCCCCCCCCCCCCCCCCCCCNCUCCCCCGGUCACGACGCCGUUGAGGGUGCCACAUCACCCGGUUGCUUCUAGUUUUUGGCCCAUACUGCAUCCUCUUAGUGGUUGUUGUAUGGACUUCAGGUUUCAAACCACAAUAUACUUAAAAUAUUUCUAAUAUAUUUUGAGAUUUAACAACAGAUGUUAAGCUUUGAAAAAGUUCGAUAUGAGCCUUUCAAAUGAUAUACUUUUUCAUUUUUUAAGAUUAUAUGGUUCAUGAUAAAUAGUUAUUUCGAACCCUUUAAUUGUUGCCUAGUGUUAUCAUGUAACUUCAAAUAACAAUGAUGUUUUAUAUCAAUUGUAAAAAUAUUAUUAUAAUAAAGAUUAUUCUAAGUCCCAAAUCUGUUUGUGUAUCAAUCAGAUCCGUUUGAUGGUGCAGAAUCUCAGUCAAACGGAUGAUGUCAGAUCAAAAUAGAAGAGAAGGAGAAGAAGAAUACUAUGAAUCUUGUAUGAUUUGAUUAGAAUGAAGUUCCCUUAGAAAAGAUUCACACACUUACACACACUUAUGCUCCAUUCUCUAACUCUCUCCUCUAGACCUCCUUUUCUCUAGCCGUACACACUCUUAUGACUCACUAACACACUAUAUAUAUGGAACAACUAGCCGUGAACAGGUUCACGGUCGUGAAUCGGUUCACGGCAGUGAACACCACUUGGUCGUAAACAUAUCCAACCGCAAACACUACAUGGAUCGUAAACUAUUAAAGCCUAGAAAAGUAAAGUAUAAACCAUAUUUUUUGACCCAACAAUCUCCCCCAUGGUUUAUAGCUUUCUUUUCUAAUUGACCCAACAAGCUCCCACUAAAAAGUAGCUGGCUUUUCUUGUCAAUCUUCAUUUGGGGCUUGGCUUUAGCGUUUACCUUCGAUUUCUUCACAACUUCAAGAUGAACAUGAUGAAUAUUCAAUAAAUGACUUCAUCUUGAGCACUUGGGAUUUUCUUCAGAAUUUGGCUUUGAACGCACAUUGGAUAAGGAGGCUUCUUGUAGAGAUUCUUGAAAGAUAGUGCUUUCAGCUUGAGAAUUUUAAGAGAGAAUGAUAAAGAGAACUAAUCUUUUGGAUCACUUCAGCAGGUUCAUAGAUAGCAACAAAUUGAUUGAGGAGACUUCAAUGCAAUCUGUCACAUAAUCUUCAAGAACAGUUUGACCAUGCUUCUUGGGUUGAAAGAUUGAAUGUUGAAAGAAUAAUCUUCAUUUCAUGUUCCUUCGAAUGAGAAUUCUUCAAUGAUCACGGAUGAAGCCUUGGCUUAGAAAAUCUCGAUACAGACUCCAUGAGUCUCAUCUACAUCUAAAUUCUCUUUUCAAGACAAAACAAAACUAAAAGAAAACUUAGCACACAAUAUUUUUUGUAUUUUUCAUAUUUUAUGAAAAUUAAAAUAGAAACAAAAAUGUUUUUGGAUUUUUAAUUUAUUCUGAACAAGAAAUAAAAUAGAAAUAACACUAUUUUUGGAUUUUUAAUUUUCUGGUUUUUGUUUGAUUUUUGAAUUUUCUGAUUUUUGAAUUUUUUAAUUCUCCCCCUAAAUUUGUGCAUUGAUGAAAACUAUGAACAAAUUUAAUAAAAACAAAAAUAUUUGGGAUCAAAGCUGUGAGACAGUCUUGACUUUGUUUAUCAGUACCUUCACAUUCAUGAAUAAAUAUGGUCAAUUGCCAGUAUUGUGGUCCACUUAAACACGAAGAAUAUUGACAAAAUUUUCCAAAUAUACCAUUUAGCUGACGACAACCACGGGUAUUGUUGUCCACAUAAAUUAAGGAGUGAGAUCUACAGACAACCUUUAAAUGGUUCAAUUUUAGUUACACUAGAACGUGUUACCCACUUCCCGAUAUACCCUGGUUAUCAAGAACUUCCAAAGAACUCCUUACUUUAGGUGAAUAGACAAUUGUUAAGGAGGAAGUCAAAUUUAGAAAUAGGUGCAUAUGUUGUGUCCCAUGUCAGAUCUCUUUCAAUCACGCAGAGGGGACAACAUAUGGCUAACUAGGAUAGAGGGAUUGAGAGGUUGAAUAUUGCAUAUGUUGUGUUCUAGGUCGGAUCAUUUCAAUCAAGCAGAGGAGACAACAUAUGGCUAACAUAUAGAAAGAAUUGCAUAGAUAAAGAGGUGCAUAGAAAUAGAGUUGCAUAUGUUGCAAUCCAGGUCGGAUCUUCCGAUCACGCAGAUGAGGCAACAUGUGAGUGACAGAUAGAAAGCACGAAAAUAAUUUCCUACAGGCCUACUUUAUCAGAACCCCCCAGUCGCCCUAUUAGAACCAGAAUUAAGGACAUAAGUCUAUACAUCAAGGAAAAGUUGAACCACUGCUCUAGAUGUAUAUUAAUUUAGUGUAUCCUGUGGGUUCCCGUGUUUAUCUCAUUGCUCAAUCUACCNAUGCCCUAUCAGAACCAGAAUUAAGGACAUAAGUCCGUACAUCAAGGAAAAGUUGUAUCACAGUUCUAGAUGCAUGUUAAUUUAGUGUAUCCUGUAGGUUCCCGUGUUUAUCUCAUUGCUUAAUCUACCCGAGCGUCGUAUGGUCAGUCCAAACAAUCCUAUCUAAAUCCACACUGUCAAAUCCUUCGUGCCUACAAGCACAUUGAACACAGAGUCUAGACAGUUCAGAUUCAGUCCCUUACACAUGUUUAGACUGCCCGUUAUCACUUUCUUGAUAUCACUUCCCAAACAAUACCUACUAACGAAAAACUAUAAGAAAAUAAAAGAUUUUCUUCGAAACGAAUCAGUUUAAGAUAAACUCAGGAGUAUCGAAAAGAAAACUCAAACCAUAAGCCAGCGAUUGAAUUUGCAUCCAGAAGGUCUGAGAACAGCACACAUAAUCUCAGAACAGAUCCGAAAAUUCUUCACAUCGUUAAGCACAAACCCCAUUUGUGAUCCUCUCAUUUUCUUCCUUUCCUGCGAAGGCCACAUACUUUCACUUAAAGUCAUGAGUGUUGUACAAUUGAGAGAUGCCUCCUAUCAUGUGCAUGGAACAGCCACUAUCAACAAAACGAAGUCUAAUGAUAUGUCUCCAUAGCUGCUCCAGCACAGAGCGGGAUCAGUUGGUCUUUGGAACCCGAUCCAUUUUGAAACUGGGUUGACCUUUGUCAUCAACGCAAUGUACCCUCUCCCAUAACAUAUCCUGUUUAUCACAAAUAGAAGAUGAAGAAAUAUUAGACGCAUUAGAUGAUUUGGUAGAUUGAACCUUUGGUGCCCAUCUGUAGUCAGGUUUAACCUAUUUCUUAUUGGAUCAGAUGGGUGCCUCGGUACUUGCUUUUGAACUUGAAGUCGGCUGCCAAGAUGAUUUUGACCUAACCGGUCUUUGUUUCACUGGAGCAUCUCUUGGAUUGGACUUUUUGCCCGACAUUCCCUUUUUGCCCUUGGGAUUUUGAUUCUUGGCCUUGUGGGUUUGAUUCUUGGCCUUCUGGGCAUUCCAAUCGCAAAUUCGCGAUUGUGAUCUCGAAUGAUUUCCUUUGGAGUAUCUCCCUCUUGGCGCAUUUUUCCAUCCUUGUGCAUAGUAGGGAACGUAUGCGCGAUUAGGACAAUUUCUAUCAAUGUGACUAGGUGUUCCACAGUGAAAGCAAGUAUGCUUCUUCAUGUAGGAGUUGUUUCUUUUUGCCCUUGGUGGCGUGACCUUGCCUUGUCCCUUAUUGUUCCCACAAGCACAGUUGCAGCAGGCACUUUCUUUCGCUUGUGUUGGUGACAUGUAUUUACCAAUAGUAGGUUGAUCAGAAGCAACUGAGUUCGAAGCAAUAGGUUCAGAGUUCAAGGAGACAUUGGUUUAGUCAACAGUAUUCUCCUUAUUCUCAUCUUCCGCUACUUUACCUGCACAAGACUUAGAAAUAUUAGAAUUCUUCACCUCAACACCCUCAGUUGGCCCAGAAUGUUCAGUCUUGACUCGAUCUGAUUCAUGGAGUGGGACAAACUAAGCUGGUGUCUCUUCCUUAUUAGUUUCAAGGGGUGUGGUAUAGUUGUCACUGAAAGGAGGUGGAACACUGUGGUACCCAAGACCCUUAUUUUGAUUAUCUUUAAAUUUUAAUUAUUUUUCAAUCAUGGAUGCAACUACCUCACUUGACAAAUCAGAUUUUUUGAAAUUAAAAUCUGCAUUUUCAAGUUUGUUUUUCAAUGUGUCAAGCUCGGCAAUCACAGAGGCAAGUUGUUUCUUAAUGUAGUUAUAAUUUUCACAUUUAUUGUUGUAUUCCUCUUGAAGGGUUCUAAAGUCAUUUAUUUUGGCCUCUAGUUUCUCUUUUAAUGGUCUCUGAUCUUUCUUAAGUUCAUACUUCUCAUAUUUUAGGUCAUCGUUCUCUCUAUUUAUCAACUCGAUUUGAUCACGCAAAACUUUGACUGUGUUAAUUCAAGUUUGAGAACAAGAAACUUCAUUGACCGAAAUGUUUGAGUAAGUCAUUGUUUUUUUUCUGUAUUUUUUUAAUUUUAUAUUGCCCUUUGACUUAAAAACUCAAAAGUCAAAUUUAAAAAGUCAGAUUUAAAAAGUCAAACUUAAAAGUCAAACCGAAAAGCUAAAUUUGAAAAUUUUAAAGUUAAACGAGAAAGUCAAAGUUUAAAGUCAAAGGUCAAACUUGAAGGUCAAAGUCAAAAUUUUAGGUCAAAAUUCAAUUUAGAAAAUCAAAAAUUAAAAGUCAAAAAUUUUGGUUGAAAAUGGAAUUUUUUAAAAAUGAAAAUUUAAUUUUUGGGCUGAAAGUGACAAUCUUUUGAAAUUAAGAAGCGAGAAAGGAGUCCUUUUUAAUUAAAUUUGGGAGGAAUGAAACAAGUGGCUUGGUAGUCCAACUGGUAAGGCGCGUGGGAUGUUGAAGCGAGACACCCAAGUUCGAUUCCUGGCAACUCCCAAAAAAAAAAUAUGAACGUAGUGCGAACCCUCACACAAGCUGGCCAAGCACACGGCGCGAGGACGAGGAUCAACUGCAAAUGAGGCUGACCGUGAACCCUAGACAGCAAACCCCCAACCGAACACGUGCGAGGCUGGCCAUAAACCUCGGAGGAACCCCUAGCCGCAAAUGCUUCUUCGGCCGAGAAAGCUUCAAUGGCCGUGAACCCUUCGCAGAUUACGUAAAAAAACAACGUUUUUCACCUCUUUUUGCUCCAAAACUUGAUCAAAAACUCAUUUUUAUGAAGAACGCGAAGAACAAACCCCCUAUUCUGCAAAGAUCUAUCCAAAAAUGCAAAAAUCCUUCAAAAAUAAGAUCAAACGCACUCCAGAUCUGCAAAAAAUGAUUGAUACAAUCCAAGCUCUGAUACCACUUGUAAGUCCUAAAUCUGCUUGUGUAUCAAUCAGAUCCGUUUGAUGGUACGGAAUCCUAAUCAAAUGGAUGAUGUCAUAUCAAAAUAGAAGAGAAGAAGAAGAAUACUAUGAAUCUUGUAUGAUUUGAUUAGAAUGAAGUUCCCUUACACAAGAUUCACACACUUACACACACUUAUGCUCCUUUUUCUAACUCUCUCCUCUAGACCUCCUUUUCUCUAGCCGUACACACUUUUAUGACUCACUAACGCACUAUAUAUAUGGAACAACUAGCCGUGAACAGGUUCACGGCCGUGAACCAGUUCACGACAGUGACCACCACCUGGCCGUGAACACAUCCAGCCGCGAACACUACAUGGACUGUAAACUAUUAAAGCCUAGAAAAGUAAAGUAUAAACCAUAUUUUUUGACCCAACAAUUAUUUUAAUAAAAUAGUUAUGAAAUAUAUUUAUAGAUACAUUUUAUAAACGUAGCAGUAUUCACAUGAAAUGUUUGUCUAAAAGAUAAACGAAGCAAAAAUAAAUAAUCAUAAAAAAUAAAAAAAUAAUAAUAAUAAAACUUCGAAGGGACACAACACAUGUGGGUAAAUUGUGAAAAAAAUAUUUAGAAGACACCCUCAACUUUUGAGACAUUCUGCUAAAUGUGUCCUUUAGGCUCGACGGAGUGGGAGUUUGUAAGCCUAGAAAAUCUAAGGUGGACUCGGCUAACACCACGCCACCACCUCAAUGAAAAAGCUUGGUCUUGGUAUUCGGUAAGUUUCCAUCGAAUUUCACACACACACACACACACACACAUCCACCGAUGAGUAAACGGAUCUUUUUCAGAAAUAAAUAACUAUAUAUCUUCAUUCCCUUACUCCUUCUACACUCUCUCUAAAAAUGUCAUCAUCAUCUUCAUCGGGGGUUUUUUUUGAUGCGUUGCUUGAAUCAACCAUAGAGGCCAUUCAAGAGGUUGGACAGAAGAUAGAAGAACUACAUCAACAAAAUGCAGAUAAUGCACACCGGUGAAAAAAGAGUUUCAUAUAAAGAAAUCAUGAGAUGGCUCACCAAUGCCUCGUGCAAAAUUAUUUUGAAGAAAACGUGACUUUUCAAGGAUAUUACUUUCGUCGACGGUUCUGUAUGCAUAAACCCCUGUAUUUGUGUAUCGUCAACAACCUCACGACAGCGUGUCCAUAUUUUUAACAACGUGUAGAUGCUAGAGAUACAGUUGGUUUUACUCCUUUACAAAAAUGCACCGCCACACUUUGUCAAUUAGCAUAUGCUACUUCCCCCGAUGCACUAGAUGAGAAUCUUUGGAUGUUCGAACGUACUGCAUGACAAAGCCUUCACAAAUUUUGUAAGUAUGUCAUGAGAUUGUAUUGUGCACGAUAUUUGCGCAAACCUACUUAUAGUUACGUCCAAAGUUAUAUGCUCAUCAUUAUUAACAUGUCUCCAUUAUCCGACGACAUGUAUAAUGGGAUUGAAGCAAAUUAUUCAUUUGAUGUGCAUGGAACGUUAUAUAGGUAUGGAUAUUAUCUUAUGGACGGUAUAUAUCUGGAGCAUGCUUGUUUUGUGAAGUCACUGUCUUGUCUAAAUGAUCGCAAAAGGUUGAAGUUUAAGAAAGUUCAAGAGAAGGCGAGAAAGGAUGUUGAACGAGCAUUUGAAAAUCUCAAAAAACGUUAGCAUAUACUUAAAUAUCAUGCACUUUAAGUUGGUGAGAAGGAAAUGAGUGAAGCCAUAUACUGUAAUGUCCCAAAACUCAUAACCAAAAAAUUUGCUUUUAUAUUGAAGAACCCAUGAACCAAACAUGUUUGAGAAAACCAUACGGUAUUUAGGGAAUAUCAAUAAACAUCCCAAAAGUACAACAAAGGCAAUAAAGCAGAAAAUCAUGGUGCGUGCAACGCGAUUAUCCCGAGCCCUUCCUUUUUGAACCGGAAGUACCUAAAACAUAAACUGAAAACCGUAAGCACAGAGCUUAGUUAGUUCCCCAAAAAACCACAUACCACACACAUAUGUUAACUCAAGGUUGUAUCGGGUCUAUUUCACCACCGAGUCUAUUACACCUCCGAGUCCAUUUCAACUGAGCACAAGGCUGUAUCGGGUCUAUUUCACCCCUGAGUCUAUUUCAACUCAUAUGUCAGCAUAAUGUUAUACCGGGUCUAUUUCACCCCGAGUCUAUUUCACCCCAUAUACAUAUAGAAAACAAGAAAACAGGCAUACAACACAUACAGCAGUAGUCACAAACAUUGUAACCACAUACAAUCCCUAGUUUCCUAUAUUAUAGUAAGCAAACUCACCUCAUUCUGUUGUCAGUCCAAUAAAUGUCCGGGCUACUAAACCGAAGAAUCCCCAAACUAACCAAUCAAAUAAAACCCUAAUUAAUAAUAGGGUCAUAAACCAUAAUCGGUACUUUAAUCAACUAAUCCUGACUCCUAAGAUAAAAGAAAUUUUACCCUUCCCUUAAUUGGCCCAAACUCAAUGGCACAAAAGUCCAAUAAUGGCUUAAUUCCUAAAGAACACUCAAAAGCUAAUAUGGGCUGAAAUCCAAGAACACACAAGACCUAAAAGUUUCCCAAAAUAAAAAAGACUUGUGGCCCAACAAGGGCACAACACCCUAAAGUCCAAAGGUGGCCCAACAAAAAAGGCCCAUGAACAGGUCGUGUACACUAAGAAUACCCCCGGUACACCUGACAUACUAGGUCGCCACACGGAGUCGAGGAUCCAAACGCGUACGCGCAACGUACCUUUUUUUACGCCCGAAGUAUGUCCCAUUCAACUAAUUCUUCCAUUAACCCCUUAAUGCUUAAGACCAAAUGUCCAUCUUUCAGAUCCAAACCUUGGGGAAUGUCUUAAUCCAUAAAGCCACUAACUUGGUGCCUUUGCAUGGCUCAAAUGGAAUCAAACCUUUGAUUUAGCAUCCUACUUCCACCAAAUGAGAAUUUACUUAUGCAUGGUUGAUCUUAACCAUCAAGAUGCAACCUUUAUGGACUAAGGAACUCAGAAACAUCAAGAGGAGCAACUCAUAACUUCUAGAGUUACAAAUCCCCACUAGGACUCAUACAUAGGACCAAAAAAUGUCCAAAAAUGUAUUAGAUCUAGAUCUAAGCAUAGAAUGAGCAACGUCAAAGAUUUAUACCUUUAUGAAGUUGGAAACGAUGAAUGGAUCUAGAUCUACAAGCUCUCCUUGGACAAUGCUCCUCAACUAAGCUGCUUCUUCUUAAAGUUACACCAAACACACACCAAAACACACAUAAAUGUCAAUUCUCUCUUGAAAUGAGCUAGGGUUUUGAAAUGGGAUUCAAAAGGGCAAUGGAGGAUGGGAAAUGAGAGAACCUUGGGACUUAAGGUUUCUUAAAUAAGGUCCAAACCUUAAAAUUAGGGUUUUUCCCAUUAUUACAUACGCCCAACAUACUGGAGGAACGCCCAGAGUCUGCACUUCCCUCCCAAAAAUUACAAUAAUUCCCAUAUGGACCAAAUUUGCAAACUAAUUACACACCAAGGGUUAAAAUGAAAAAUACAUUGAAUUGGGUGUUACAAUUCUCCCCCACUAGAACUAGACAUCAUCCUCGAAGUCCUUUGCUGUAAAUAAUUAUGGGUAGUGCUCCCUCAUCUAGUGCUCAGGCUCCCAUGUCCACUUUGAACCAUUUCGGUGUAGCCAUAGUACCUUCACGAGAUCCACCACCUUGUUUCGCAGAGUGUUCGUCCUCUUGUCAAGGAUCGUCAUUGGUCUCUCUAUAUAAUUCAGGUGAUCAUCGACUUGAAUAUCCUCCAAUGGAACCACUGAGGAAUCAUUAACUAGAUAUUUCUACAGUUGAGAGACAUGAAAGGUGCUAUGGAUCUGACUGAGCUCCUCUGGCAAAUCCAAACAACAUGCAACCCUACCUACCCGAGCUAACACCCUGAAAAGACCAAUAUACCUAGGUCCUAGCUUACCCCGCGUUCUGAAUCGGAUGACACCUUUCCAAGGUGGCACCUUCAGGAGUACCAUAUCCCCAACCUAAAACACCAAUUCUGAUUGGUGUCUAUCUGGGUAGCUAUUUUAUCGACUUUGUGUUGUUUGAAGUCUACCGCAAACCUGCUAAAUCAAUUAUGUCGUUUUGAGUACCACCUCCGUACUCCCUAUGACCCACUGACUGACCUCACCCCAAUAUAUUGGGGUGCUACACUUCUUCCUAUAUAACAUCUCAAAAGGAGGUCAAUAAAUGUUGGCGUGAUAACUGUUGUAAUAUGAAAAUUCCGCCAAAGGAAGAUGUGUAUCCCAACUACCACCAAAAUCCAGUACACAUUCUUGCAACAUGUCCUCCAAUGUCAGGAUAGUCCGAUCACUCUAACCAUUAGUCUUUAGGUGGAAAGUUAUGCUGAAGUGUAGACGAGUACCGAACUCGUCGUCGAAUCUCUUCCAAAACCUGAAAGUAAACCGAACAUCCCUAUCAGAGACAACCGAAACUGGAACCCUAUGUCAUGCCACCACCUCUCGAAUGUAGAUAUCGGCCAACUUUUCAGCCGAAAUACUCUCCUGGAUUGAAAUAAAAUGCGCACUCUUGGUCAAUCAAUCCACGAUAACCCAUAUUGAAUCCACUCCACAAGCUGUAUGUGUCAACUUUAUGAUAAAAUCCAUCGUAAUCUCUUCCCAUUUCCAAACGGGAACUUCCAAUGACCCUAUUUUGUCGUGAGUCGCUGAUGCCUGGCCUUGACUUUCCUGCAAGUCAAGCACAUCUCCACAUACCAGACCACAUCUCGCUUCAUACAUGGCCAGCAAUAUUCAAACGGGAGAUCUUUAUAUAUAUUUGUUGCCUCGGGAUGAAUAGACAAUCUCGACUUGUACACCUCCUCCAAAAAAAUCUGAUGUGCACUACCCCAAUAAGGAACCCACACCCUCUGAUGAAGGGUCAAUAAUCCUCGGUUAUCAUAAUCGAAGGAAGCCACCUGACCCACUAUGUGAUCGCUCUUCCGAUGCUCUUCCUUCAUAGCCUCAACCUGAGCCUCUCGAAUCUACUCUAAGAGUGGGGUAAUCAUGGUCAUCCUCAAACACACAUCCUUGAUCGGGGCAGCAACCGCCUUGCAGCUGAGAGCAUCGACCACCACGUUGGCCUUCCCCGGGUGAUAAAGGAUUUCAUAAUCAUAAUCCUUCACCACAUCCAACCUUCUAUGCUGCCUUAUAUUCAGAUUCGGCUAAUCCAUUAGAUAUUUUAGACUCUUGUGAUCUGUGUAAAUAGUACAAUAGACCCCAUAAAGACAAUGUCGCCAAAACUUGAGGGUGAACACCACAGCCCCCAACUCCAAAUCAUGUGUAGGAUAAUUUGCCUCGUGAGGCUUCAGUUGCCUCGAAGUGUAAGCGAUCACAUGACCCCGAUGCAUCGACACUACACCCAAACCUAUAAUUAAUGUAUCGGAAUACACCACAAAAUCCUUAACACCCUCUGACAAGGUCAUAAUUGGUGCCUCACACAAACUCCGCCUCAGAGUCUCAAAAGCUCCAUGCUGCUCAGGCCCUAACAAAACAUGACGGUCUUCUUUGUCAAUCGAUUCAAAGGAACUGCUAUCUUGGAGAAAUCUUGAAUGAAUCUCCAAUAGUAACCCGCCAAUCCAAGGAAACUCCGAAUCUCCGAUGGAGACCUCGGAACUUCCCACCUCAUCACCGCCUCGACCUUGGCCGGAUCAACCAGAAUACUUUUCUGGUUGACAAUGUGCCCCAAAACUUGCACCUCGCACAACCAAAACUCACACUUGGAGAACUUCACAUACAAUCUCUCCUUCAUCAUAGUCUCUAGUACCUCCUUCAGAUGUUCCUCAUGCUGCUCCUGGGUCUUAGAAUAGACCAAGAUGUCAUCAAUAAACAUAAUCACAAAUCGAUAUAGCGUGGUCCUGCAUGUGCGAUUCAUGAGAUCUAUGAAUGUGGCUGGAGCAUUGGUAAACCUGAAGGGAAUCACCAUGAACUCGUAAUGAUCAUAACGAUUCUGGGAGGCCGUCUUCUGCAUAUCCUCUUCUCUGACCCUCAUCUGAUGAUAACCCGAAUGCAGAUUAAUCUUCGAAAACCAACAUGUACCCUGGAGCUGGUCAAAUAAAUCAUCAAUCCUCGGAGUAGAUAACGACUCUUCACCGUUAACUUAUUCAGCUCCCAAUAGUCGAUACACAUCCAAUGCGACCCAUCCUUCUUCUUCACAAACAUGAUCGGUGCUCCUCAUGGUGAAAUACUUGGCCAAAUAAAUCCCUUGUCCAACAGCUCAUGCAGCUGUGUAGAUGUAAAACCCCAAAUCACGACGUAUCAAUUGGAUUCACUAGAAUUGUUACGGAAUCCCAAUCUAGUGAUUAAUGCAAAACGAGAUAUGGAAUGAAUAACACAAGAUGAAUCUUCAAUGAACACUAUAUUGAUGAUAGUCUGGUACAUAUGAUUCAGAUUACACUUGGUUUUCUCUCUGUUUCUCUCUAGAACGUGUUCUUGCCUUAUGGCAACACCCAAAAACGUCUCUCCCUCUUUACAAGGCUAAAAUAACAUUAUGUAUACCUAUACCUAAUAACAAAGGCCCAUACCAUAACCCAAACAAGACAACAUUAAGCCCAACUGAAAUCACAUGUGAUUUCAGUGCAAACAACACCAAAACAUGGUGUUUUCGGUCCUAGACCGAGAACUCUAAUAGCUUAUCAAAAGCAAAGUAUCAACGACAAUUUAUAACCUAACAGUAGAUAAUUCAUGCAUCUAUGGAGUUGCUAACCGAUAAGGUGCUUUGGGUAUUGAAGCCGCACCUAGAACCAAUUCAAUUCGAAACUCCAUCUCCCACUCCGGUGGAACUACAGGAAAAUCCUUCAAAAACACAUCUAGGUACUCCUCAACAAACGGUACAUCACCCACAGUCUUCUUACCCUUCUCCCAGGUAUCCAUCACAUAAGCCAUAAACCCGGAACAGCCCUGCUGAAGAUAGCGCCUGGCCCUAGCUUCUGAACAGAGAACCGACCCAUGCUAAACUCCAUCUCCUAGAAUCACUAACUCUCCCCCAACUGGGGUCCGAAUACAUACCAUCUGAUGAUGGAAAUCAAUCAUUUAUCCAUUGUGGCUUAACCAAUCUAUCCCCACAACAACCUUGCUCUCAUGCAGAGGAAUAGGAACCAAAUCAACCGGGUACUGCUCAUUAAACAACUCCAAUACACAUCCUCGAUGAACCCUCGAUACCCGCAUAGGAUGAUCAUCAGUAAUCUCAACCUCUAAUGGAUAAUAUACCUCCCACAGAUCAUCAGCAAACGUCUUGAUGAGCGUGAGAGAUACAAAGGAUUGGGUAUCCCUGAAUCAAACAAAACCAAAGUAGAGACACCGUUCACAAGGAACGUCCCUAAAAGAAAAACACAGAUAUAAGUAGGAAAAUCAACAUAAAUAAAGAGAUAAGGAGAAGAUACAUACAUGUCACCACAUCAGGUACUACGCGAGCCUCCUCGGCUGUCGGCUGGAAUGCCCUGCUUCUCUCCACAGGUGCCUCCACCUUGACCUAACGACCAUCUGUAAUUCAUAAGAUCGUCGGAUCGGGUGCUGCAACCGGUCAUGCCGCUGCUAAACUCGGACAAUCAGCCUUUUUUAUGGCCCCUCUAGUUGUAAUGAAAGCAAUUCAGAUUCAAUCUCACGGUGGUGGUUGUGCAAUCCCAACUAAAGUGCCUAGUCUUGUCGCACUUGUAGCAGCCUGAGCUAACCCCUGCAAGAUCCCUCGUGCGUCUUGUCGCACUUGCCACAUUGGCUUCGGCUCUGCCGACCCCUAGAUCUCGAAUCAAAAUCAUUGGGCUUUUGCCCGAACCUUCAGAACCCUGAACCUGAUCCAACUUCCACUUCUUCUCCAUCUCCAGAUCAAUUUCCUUCUCUCUAGCUCUCACCACCAUAUCAUUCAGUGUCUUGCAAUUGGAUCUGCUCACAAACUACAUGAUAUCACUGCUCAACAUAUCGUGGUAUCUCGCCUUCUUCAUCUCCUAGUCUGCCACAUACUACGAAACCAAUAACGCCCUCUCACGGAACAUAGCUGUGAUCUCCGCCACCAUCUCAGUAGUCUAGAGAAGGUCUUGAAACUCCCUGGCAAACUGCUAGACCUCAAUCACAGGUGCAAACUCAGCCUGAAACCUCGUCACAAAAUCCUCCCAAGUCAUCGAAUCGACCGCCUCGCCUCCCAAAGCAUGUCCAACCUCCUCCCACCAAUCUCGAUCUUUGUUUUUCAGAAGACAAGAUUCAAGUCUGACCUUUGCCCCCUCUGUUGGAUUAGUGUCUAAGCCCGUAACUAUAUUUGUUUUGUACUUGACCCGGUUGUGCAUGGUCCUUUUGGGUUGCUUUCACCAAAGCAACUCGAUAGGAUGAUUUAUGGAGAAAGAGAGGUUAUUAUGAUUUAUUAAUAUAUUAUAUGAAUAAUAUAUUAAAAGAGAGAUCAUAUAGUUUAAUUAAUAUUAAACAAGAAUUAAUUAAGAAUUAAUUAUGUGGCUAAAAGACAUUAAUUAAAUAAAGGCCACUAGAACUGUCAAUUAUGUGAUAGUUGAUAGUGGGCAGAGAAUCCUUAUGGAUUAGGGUGUGGACGAAAUUAAGAGGAGUCCAUCUUAAUUUCUGGAAUAGUGGCCUUAUUCCAGAAUGUUCUCAAGUUACUUAGGGCCUAAGUCGUCCAAUUAGCGUUUUGACUAAAACCCUAGAAGCUCAAGUAUAUAAGGACCCCAAGGGCUAGCAAAAUCAGACACUUGAUCCCUUGGAAGCUUGGAGCCGAAUUUUGCCUCUCAUCAUGUGACAACCGGCAAUCUUCCAGUCAAGUCAACCUGGUCAACCCAACUAGUGUUCAUAUGUUAGGGAUUUCUUUAUGUUACUAAUGAAAAACUGUAAAUCUUAAUGCAAAGUAACACUUGAGAGUUCCAAAUGUUAAAAUCUCUCCCAAAUCUCUCUCUCUCCCAACUAGUGUUUAUAUGUUAGGGAUUUCUUUAUGUCUCUCUCAAUCUCUCCCAUUGUAUCCCUCUCUCCCAAAUCUCUCCAAGUAUGUGAAAUCUCUCCCAAAUCUCUCUAUGUACCUUCCUCAGUUGAAAACAGCCCAAAAUCGAAGGAGAAAACCCAAAAGGACCCUCUCUGUCCUAAACCACUUGUCUGGAACCCUCUUGGACCUGAAACUCUUGUGCGGAACUCUCUUGGUCCUAAACCUCUUGUUCGGAACCCUAUUGUUCAUGAACCUCUUGUCCGGAACCCUCUUGGUCCUGAACCUCUUAUCCGGAAUGCCUCCUAAGGAACCAAGAGGAAUUGCACCUCGGAAGCCUCUCAUCCGAACCACCCAUUUUGGAACCCCCAUUUUGCUUCGGAACAUCUUGCUCCGACAUGAGUCCCUCCUCCGGACCACACAUUUCGAAAUCCUCAGAAGUGCCUUCGGAACCUCACACCGGAAGGCUAAGCCUCGACUCGCUUCGGCAGACUGCUAGCCGGACCGGACUUCUCCUGCUGACUCUAAAAUUGAAGAGUGCAUUCCCGAAUUUCGAGAUUGGCUCCGGAACCCUUCCUAACCACUUCGGACCCUCGCAGGAGCAUGAUUCCACUCCAGAUUUUGUCAUUUUCGGACCUUUUAUCAUUUUAAGGCAUUUUGACGUCGGGAAUCACACCAAACUCAUAUUUUUCAUAUCUUAGACUCCUUAAACCCCCAUUUUAUGCCAAAAUUAAUUUUUUUAAACAUAUAUAUAUAUAUAUAUAUAUAUAUAUAAAAUAAUACCUAAUAUUUUUAUGGAGAUUCUAUGGAAAUAAAGGGGUUUGACUUUAUGAUGUGAUGUAAAUCUCUCUUUUCCCAUGUAAAUCUCAGUAAAACACACAUUACCCAUAAAAAAUAAGCUUUACCCAGCAGCCCUCCAUGCAAAUGUCAAGUCACCUCCCUUAUCCUCCCCUUUAGAUACUUGAACUCCUUUUCCUCCCUUAUUCCACUUCUCACAUUUACAUUCAGAAAACUCCCAAGAAUACUCUCAACUCCAUCAAGCUCCAAGUUUCAUAUCUUCAAAGAAAGUUUCCAGAUUUCAUUUUGUAAGUAUUUUAUCUUCUUUGAAUAAUAAUUCUCCUCAUUAGUUCUAAGAUUCCUUUAUAUUUAUACAUAAAAUUAUUAUUAGAAUAUCUUAAAGUUCAAAGAACCCUUCAAGUGUUGGAGCUUGGAAACUUCUUAUCAUCUCUUUAAAAUCACCCAGCAAGCUAACCAAGGUGAGCUUCAUACCCCACUUUUUUCAAUGUUUUAGUGUUUUAGGAGAGAGUACAAGUUAAAUCUCUUCUAAAUACUUGAAUAGUUGCAUGUAUACGUAUAUUUGGAUGUGUGUGUGAAAUAUUAUUAAAUUAUUACUUUAGUAAUAUUCUCAUGAACAUAAGAUUUCACAAUUUCAUAAAGAAGAGAGGAUACUUUAUGUACAAGAGAGCCUCCCAACUAUUGGGUGUGUCCAACCUACUUAACCCCUUUAUCUAUGCUUUCAUGUCUAGAGAUAAAAGUUAUAAAAAAGAACCUUGAAUUAGUUGACACUAUUUCUAGUAAUUUUCGAUAAUGGGAACUUUGGGACUGUUUACAAACUAUUAGGGAUUAUUUUAUAACUACUUGAUACAAGUAAUUUGGUCAAGGAAAAUGUACAAUUAGAGCCUUUUUGACAAAAAAAAUUUGCAUGUCAUAAAGUUGCUUUCAUAACUUCACCCAAGUCAUAGUUUUAUACAAAUCAUUACUUGGCAUUUUUCAACAAAUUGAGCCGCUCUUAGUAUUUUAUAAAGAAAAAGGGUUGUUUUCCGGCUACGAUAAUAUUGGGUCAUCUUGAUAAAUAUUCAAAGUGGAUUUAUUCCAACAAACGAAACGAACGAAACGAAAUAUCUAGCUACAACUACAACUAUUUAUAUUUAUUUAGUAAAUAAUGAUUUUCAUGAUUUGCUUAGAAAAUCGGUUAGUAUUCUAGUCAGACAAAUCUUCACAAUACAUAUAUUAAUACAAUAUUUUACGCCUUAAGUCUUGUAAGAGUUAUAACUACAGUCUCCUGGAGGGAGAGCAGUAAUUUGUGUAUAGAUCUAUACGGGGUUGACACCCCGCACCUUCGUUGUUCGCUACAGCUAGACAGGCCAAUCUAGGGUGACAAAUGUCUUGAACAAAACCGACACUUGAAGAACGUCAUAACAGGAACUCUGUCACAUCAGUAUGGUUAUAACGACUCAUUAGAAUAUAUCAGAAAUGUGUUUAUACAGAAUUCACUUUCGGCUUACAGUCAACUACGUUUUGAUUACCUCAACGAAACCUUUUCCACACGAGUGUUAUGUUUUCAUAAAAGCCAUUAUUUUUAUGCUUCAGAAAAUAUAGGAUUUUCUAGGUGAAACGAUUUGUUACGAUUUCAAAAACAAUGAAUUAAGACACAUGUUGAAUCAUAAAAAGUGACCCUCUUGAACUUCAGCUACCGCAACCGACAAGCCACCGCAGUCAAGUUUCUUCAUCAGCAUUCGCAACCGUAGUCUCUACCUACCGCAGUCUCUUUACUAGAUUACUUUACUUGUCUUUUAUUGUAAUAAUCUCUAUUGUCCAGUAUGCCUUCCGUGGCUACUAUUAGAGUUGUAAUCUAGUGUACUUCAUGACUCUCUAUAAAUAGAGCUCAUUCUCUUGUAUCCAAAACUUACGCAUCUAAUUCUGAACUGCAAUCUCUGAAGUUAUCUUUUCUAUCUCUCUUACUCUCACUUAUUACUCUCAUAAUCGAUUACAAUCUCUCUUCGGAGCAAGUCUUGUGUAACUUAAUCACUAAGUUUGAUCUCACCUGUUAACUUGGCUUGAAUGCAUUCCUCGUUAUGAAUCAACUUAAGUGUAUACUUGAUAUAACAAUUGUUGUCAUUUCCAUUUCUUUACUUUUCUGCAAGCAACUCUCUAACCAUCUAACUCUAAAUAUUAUUGUUGAGCUUUUAGAUCCUUCGAUAUUAACUAUUCCGUAAUAUACUUGUUCUAGUGUUUGUUCAAGUUUGUCUCAAAGUUUUUCUUUCAGCAACAUACAUGCAACCAUACUCGAUUUGAAACAAGACUCACAACUAUUUUGAUAAGAAAAUAUUGGAUUUUCUGGAUUUCUAAACUAUCAUCGAAGUUUUAAACAAAAAUGCUUAUGAACUCACCAACAUAUUUUAUGUUGACGCUUUUUCAAACGACUUGUAUUCUCAUGAAAUCAAUAAGUAGGUUAUGGAUCGCGGACUCAUGAUUAUUUUGCUGCGUUUUGGAAAUUUGCUUACUGAUGUCUCUUUUGUGUAGAUUUUGAGAACAUUAAACAUGAUGUAAACCAAUGUAAGCUUGUUAUAUUGAUGUAUGUUGUUUGGAUUUGCUAUGUUUCAUUUAUAUGCAAUUGUUAUGAUACUACACAAUGAAGUCACCCACCUCCGGAUGUUUCCGCCGUUCUGGUCUGGGGGUGUGACAGAUUGGUAUCAGAACAUUGUUUAUAGUGAACUAGUAUAUCUAGUCAUACAAGAUAUACAACUAUAAAUACAAUGGGACUAAAAAAAUCAGACUAAAAGUAUACAUACUUGCUAGGAUUAUAUCAUAAAAAGAACAGACAAGGUAACUUAAAGGUUGAACACUACAGUCAAACCUGGGCAGUUAUGUAAUCACAUCUGGAUAAAUAUAGCCCGAUCAACUAUAUUUAUUUGAGAUAUGACCAACAUGUGUUUGGGAGUGAUAGUGGUGUUGCAACAAGCCUAAGGCCUCCGAACUCAUUAUCCCAAAACUCUUAAGAACCAAACCUAAAUAACUAAAAUACUAUAGGAGUAUUUUGGCAUUCUAUCUAUUUUCUCGUACUCAUGUAUUCUUGCACAGGCGACAUGGCAGACUUUCACCUUCCCAACUAGGGGAAUGGGGGUUGGAUUGAGGAAGACCCAUAAGAAGACCUCGAUGAACUCAUGGAGGAUCCCAAAGAACUGGUAGAGUCUGAAGAGGAGGACAUCGAUGAAGAGAUCGAGGAAGACGAUGAGGAAGAAGUUGAGGAGGAUGAGGAAUUAGACGUUGAGUCUGAAGUUAUCAACCCUCCCUACAUGGCAAGGGUACCGUCAUAUAGGAUGGGCUACAAUGGCCCUACACCUCCAUGGGCUGACAUUAUUGAGAGAUGGGGCCGACGCCAGGGUCAGCAACCACCGUUUCGGAUGAACCGAGAUUACUACGAUCUUCGGCAAGAAGCACCAGCAGAUCGCACACUCCCCUUCGUGGUCAGAUGUAUUAGGGACAUCGGUGACUAGGCUCAAGUGACUGCCCACUGGGUGAUGCAGAUGCGGGCGGCCAUGCAGAUCAUGGAUGCUCGCACGCAAGACCUCGAGCGAGACUUCUAUCUAAUGUAACGACUCAUAGAAGAUCUUGCCACUACACGAGCGGAGGUCAGAGAGUACCAGGAGCAACACGCUGCUCUGGAGGAACGGGUACGGAUUGUCGAACAUAGGUUAGCCAAGCUCCAGGGCGUGUCUACCUCAUCAUCAGCACCACCAGGCCCUACUCGUCGCAAUUAGUACCUGUUUAUUUGCUACCAUAUCAAUUUUUCCCUUUUGUGCACUUUCCUAUGUAUUACCGAAGACAUGAUUAAGUGAUUUCGCUACUCACAGAGUCGUGACUUUGCUAGAUUCUAUUUCACUACAAGCAUUGUAAGCCUUAUGAAGGCAAUUUUCCAUGUACUCAGAAGAUUAUUAUCAAUGAAAAACGGAUAUAUAUAUAUAUAUAUAUAUAUNUAUAUAUAUAUAUAUAUAUAUUUUCUUAUGAUGUGUUACCUCUUAUGUGCUCUAUCACUAUUUUUACAUGUUGAUUUUAUGCACACACUUAUUCAUAUACAAACAAGCCAUCAAUACUAUUCUAUGAUCAAGAAAUCGUGAAAAAAUACAUUCGGGUUCCAACAAGAUGUACCUAGAUAUCAAACAACAUUAUUGGUGGCCAAAUAUGAAAGCAGAGAUCGCCACUUACGUUGGCAAGUGUCUCAUUUGUCCCAAAGUUAAAGUGGAGUAUCAGAAGCCCUCGGGUCUACUUCAACAACCUGAAAUACCUGAGUAGAAAUGGGAGAUGAUAACAAUGGGUUUUAUAACCAAAUUACCCGAGAAGACAGACGGUUUGGAUGCCAUCUGGGUGAUCGUUUAUUGAUUAACAAAAUCCGCCCAUUUCCUACCAAUAAAGAAGACGUACAAAAUGGAAAGCCUAACACGAAUAUACCAGAAAGAGGUAGUGAGACUUCAUGGAGUCCCCAUAUCUAUUAUCCCGGAUCGGGAUAGCAGAUUCACCUCUCGCUUUUGGCAGUCGCUACAGAAAGCAUUGGGAACCCGACUGGAUAUGAGCACUGCCUACCACCCUCAAACUGAUGGCCAAAGUGAACGAACUAUUCAAACCCUAGAAGAUAUGCUCUGAGCAUGUGUAAUAGAUUUUGGCAAAGCCUGGGAUGCCCACAUGCCCUUGGUUGAAUUUUCAUAUAACAAGAGCUAUCACACGAGUAUAAGAGUCGCCCCCUUUAAGGCCUUGUAUAGCCGAAAGUGCAGAUCACCUCUUUGUUGGGCCGAGGUGGCUGACACCCAGCUGGCAAGAGGGAAAUUACCGAGUAGCACUCUCAUAGGACCUGAGAUCAUUCGGGAAACAACUGAGAAAAUCAUCCAAAUCAGGUCACGACUGUAAGCGUCACGGGAUAGACAGAAAAGUUAUGCAGAUAAAAGACGAAAGACGUUGGAGUUCGAAGUAGGAGACCGCGUGUUACCAAAAGUCUCUCCCUGGAAAGGGACGAUCCUCUUCGGGAAACGAGGAAAGUUAAACCGGUGAUACAUCGGACCAUUCGAGAUUCUUGCCCGAAUUGGUCCAGUGGCCUAUAAGCUGCAGCUACCCUCUGAGCUCAGCAACAUGCACCCCGUGUUUCAUGUAUCGAAUUUGAAAAAGUGCUUAUUGGAUGAAAUCCUUGUUAUUCCGCUAGAAGAGAUUGAGAUAAACAAGAAUUUAUUCUUCGUGGAAGAACCAGUUGAAAUCAUGGAUAGAGAAGUGAAACGUACUAAGCAAAGUCGCAUCCCAAUUAUAAAAGUUCGUUGGAGUGCCAAACGCGGGCCUAAAUUCACCUGGGAAUGUGAAGAUCAAAUGUUGUAGAAGUAUCCCCACCUAUUCGCUAAACCUUGAAGGCUACUUCAAAGCAAAAAUUUCGGGACGAAAUUCCCUCAAGCAGGGGAUGAUGUGACAACCGGCAAUCUUCUGGUCAAGUCAAAGUCAAGUGAACCUGGUCAACCCAAAUAGUGUUUAUAUGUUAGGGAUUUCUUUAUGUUACUAAUGAACAACUAUAAAUCUUAAUGCAAAGUAACACUUGAAAGUUCCAAAUGUUAAAAAUUUAAAACCCUAAUCUGAUUUAUGGAAGUAACAGCUCUAUAAAAGUAUUAAUAAGUACCCUUCGGGGGUGUAUAGCACUCAAAAUGAGAUGUAACUAAUUCUAAAGUCCUUGCUCUAUGAAGAAAAACAUUAAUAAGGGCUCCCGAUAAAGUCUCUCUCAAUCCCUCCCACUAUAUCUCUCUCUCCUAAAUCUCUCCAAGUAUGUGAAAUCUCUCCCAAAUCUCUCCAAGUAUGUGAAAUCUCUCCCAAAUCUGUUCAAGUAUGUGAAAUCUAUCCCAAAUCUCUCCAAGUAUGUGAAAUCUCUCCUAAAUCUCUCCAAGUAUGUGAAAUCUCUCCCAAAUCUCUCUAUGUACCUUCCUCAGUCGAAAACAACACAAAACCGAAGGAGAAAACCCGAAAGGACCCUCUUGGUCCGGAACCCUCUUGGUCCUGAACCUCUUGUCUGGAACCCUCUUGGUCCUGAACCUCUUGUCCGGAAUGCCUCCGAAGGAACCAAGAGGAAUUGCACCUCGGAAGCCUCUCAUCCGGACCACCCAUUUCGGAACCCCCUUUUUACUUCGAACAAUCUUGCUCCUACAUGAGUCCCUCUUCCGGACCACACAUUUCGAAAUCCUCAGAAGCGCCUUCGGAACCUCGCACCAGAAGCCUGAGCCUCGCCUCGCUUCAGAAGACUGCUAGUCGGACCGGACUUCGCCUGCUGACUACGGAAUUAAAAAGAGCACUCUGAAAUUUUGAAAUUGGCUCCGGAACCCUUCCUAACCACUUCGGACCCUCGCAGGAGCAUGAUUCCACUCCAUAUUUUUUUCAUUUUCAGACCUUUUAUCAUUUUAAGGAAUUUUGACGUCGGGAAUCACACCAAACUCAUAUUUUUCAUAUCUUAGACCCCUUAAACCCCCAUUUUAUGCCAAAAUUAAUUAUUUCAAACAUAAUUAUAUAAAAUAAUACCCAAGAUUUUUAAGGAGAUUCUAAGGAAAUAAAGGGGUUUGACUUUAUGAUGUGAUGUAAAUCCCUCUUUUCCCAUGCAAAUCUCAGUAAAACACACAUUACCCAUAAAAAAUAAGCUUUACCCAGCAGCCCACCAUGAAAAUGUCAAGUCACCUCCCUUAUCCUCCCCUUUAGAUACGUGAACUCCUUUUCCUCCCUUAUUCCACUUCUCACAUUUACAUUCAGAAAACUCCCAAGAAUACUCUCAACUCCAUCAAGCUCCAAGUUUCAUCUCAUCAAAGAAAGUUUCCAGAUUUCUUUUGGUAAGUAUUUUAUCUUCUUUGAAUAAUAAUUCUCCUCACUAUUUCUAAGAUUCCAUUAUAUUUAUACACAAAAUUAUUCUUAGAAUAUCCUAAAGUUCAAAGAACCCUUCAAGUGUUGGAGCUUGGAAACUUCUUAUCAUCUCUUUAAAAUCACCCAACAAGAUAACCAAGGUGAGCUUCAUACCCCACUUUUUUCACUGUUUUAGUGUUUUAGGGGAGAGUACAAGUCAAAUAUUGUCUAAAUACUUGAAUAGUUGCAUGUAUACGUAUGUUUGGAUGUGUGUGUGAAAUAUUAUUAAAUUAUUACAUUAGUAAUAUUCUCAUGAACAUAAGAUUUCACAAUUUCAUAAAGAGCAGAGGAUACUUUAUGUACAAGAGAGCCUCCCAACUAUUGGGUGUGUGCAACUUAACCCCUUUAUCUAUGCUUUCAUGUCUAGAGAUAAAAUUUAUAAAAAGGAACCUUGAAUUAGUUGACACUAUUUCUAGUAAUUUUCGAUAAUGGGAACUUUGGGACUAUUUACAAACUAUUAGGGAUUAUUUUAUAACUAUUUGAUACAAGUAAUUUCGUCAAGGAAAAUGUAAAAUUAGAGCCUUUAUGACAAAAAAAUUGCAUGUCAUAAAGUUGCUGUCAUAACUUCACCCAAGUCAUAGUUAUGUACAAAACAUAACUUCUCAUUUUUCUGACAAAUUGAGCCGCACUUCGUAUUUUAUAAAGAAAAAGGGUUGUUUGCCGGCUUCGAUAAUAUUGGUUCAUCUUGAUUAAUAUUCAAAGUGGAUUUAUUCCAACAAACGAAACAAACGAAACGAACGAAACGAAAUAUCUAGUUACGGCUACAACGAUUAUUAUUUAUUUAGUAAAUAAGGAUUUUCACAAUUUGCUCAGAAGAUCGGUUAGUGUUCUAGUCAGACAAAUCUUCAUAGUACAUAUAUUAAUACAAUAUUUUACGCCUUAAGUCUUGUAAGAGUUAUAACUACAGUAUCCUGGAGGGAGAGCAGGGAUUUGUGUAUAGAUCUAUCUGGGGUUGACACCCUACACCUUCGUUGUUCGCUACAGCUAGACCGACCAGUCUAGGGUGACAAAUCUCUUGAACAAAGCCGACGCCUGAAGAACGUCAUAACAGGCACUCCGUCACAUCAGUAUGGUUAUAACGACUCACUAGAAUAUAUAAGAAAUGUGUUUAUACAGAAUUCACUUUCGGCUUACAGUCAAAUACGUUUUCAUUACCUCAACGAAACCUUUUCCACACGAGUGUUAUGUUUUCAUAAAAGCCACUAUUUUUAUUCUUCAGAAAAUAUAGGAUUUUCUGGGAGAAACGAUUUAUUACAAUUUCGAAAACAAUGAAUUAAGACACACAUGCAACCAUACUCAAUUUGAAACAAGACUCACAACUAUUUUGAUAAGAAAACAUUGGAUUUUCUGGAUUUCUAAACUAUCAUCGAGUUUUAUACAAAAAUGAUUAUGAACUCACCAACAUAUUUUAUGUUGACGCAUUUUCAAACGACUUGUAUUCUCAGGAAAACAAUAAGCAGGUUAUGGAUUGCGGACUCAGGAUUAUUUUGCUGCAUUUUGGAAAUUUGCUUACUGAUGUCUCUUUUUGUAAAUUUUGAGAACAUUAAACAUGAUGUAAAACAAUGUAAGCUUGUUAUAUUGAUGUAUGUUGUUUGGAUUUGCGAUGUUUCAUUUAUAUGUAAUUGUUAUGAUGCUACACAAUGAAGUCACCUGCCUCCGGACGUUUCCGCCAUUCUAGUCUGGGGGUGUGACACAUCCUCUCUCCACUACAUCAUUCUCUUGGUUGUGGUGUUUGUGAGCCAUUAGAGGUGUUAC